Molecule: ribosomal RNA, 394 nt
Filed under: Salmonella enterica subsp. enterica serovar Senftenberg
Lineage: Bacteria; Pseudomonadati; Pseudomonadota; Gammaproteobacteria; Enterobacterales; Enterobacteriaceae
Description: bacterial LSU rRNA
Rfam family: Bacterial large subunit ribosomal RNA
Source: RNAcentral
GCGAACCGGGGGAACUGAAACAUCUAAGUACCCCGAGGAAAAGAAAUCAACCGAGAUUCCCCCAGUAGCGGCGAGCGAACGGGGAGGAGCCCAGAGCCUGAAUCAGCAUGUGUGUUAGUGGAAGCGUCUGGAAAGGCGCGCGAUACAGGGUGACAGCCCCGUACACAAAAGCGCAUAUGCUGUGAGCUCGAUGAGUAGGGCGGGACACGUGGUAUCCUGUCUGAAUAUGGGGGGACCAUCCUCCAAGGCUAAAUACUCCUGACUGACCGAUAGUGAACCAGUACCGUGAGGGAAAGGCGAAAAGAACCCCGGCGAGGGGAGUGAAAAAGAACCUGAAACCGUGUACGUACAAGCAGUGGGAGCACAGGUUUACCUGUGUGACUGCGUACCUUUU